Molecule: ribosomal RNA, 489 nt
Filed under: uncultured Actinomycetes bacterium
Lineage: Bacteria; Bacillati; Actinomycetota; Actinomycetes
Description: uncultured actinobacterium partial 16S ribosomal RNA
Source: RNAcentral
CACGUAGUUAGCCGAGGCUUCUUCUGCAGGUACCGUCACGAUCGCUUCGUCCCUGCCGAAAGGGGUUUACAACCCGAGGGCCUUCAUCCCCCACGCGGCGUCGCUGCGUCAGGCUUUCGCCCAUUGCGCAAGAUUCCCCACUGCUGCCUCCCGUAGGAGUCUGGGCCGUAUCUCAGUCCCAGUGUGGCUGGUCGUCCUCUCAGACCAGCUACCCGUCGUCGCCUUGGUGGGCCGUUACCCCACCAACAAGCUGAUAGGCCGCGGGCCCAUCCCUCACCAGCGGACUUUUCCCGACCAGACCAUGCGGACCGGUCGGAGUAUCCGGUAUUAGCUCCGGUUUCCCGGGGUUAUCCCAGAGUGAGGGGCAGGUUGCCCACGUGUUACGCACCCGUUCGCCACUGAUCCCCGGGCCGAAGCCCGGUUCACCGUUCGACUUGCAUGUGUUAAGCGCGCCGCCAGCGUUCGUCCUGAGCCACGGAUCAAACUACU